GUGGGGAAUAUUGGACAAUGGGCGCAAGCCUGAUCCAGCCAUGCCGCGUGAGUGAUGAAGGCCUUAGGGUUGUAAAGCUCUUUCAGUGGGGACGAUAAUGACGGUACCUACAGAAGAAGCCCCGGCUAACUUCGUGCCAGCAGCCGCGGUAAUACGAAGGGGGCUAGCGUUGUUCGGAUUUACUGGGCGUAAAGCGCACGUAGGCGGAUUGGUCAGUUAGAGGUGAAAUCCCGAAGCUCAACUUCGGAACUGCCUUUAAUACUGCCAGUCUCGAGUCCGGAAGAGGUGAGUGGAACUCCUAGUGUAGAGGUGGAAUUCGUAGAUAUUAGGAAGAACACCAGUGGCGAAGGCGGCUCACUGGUCCGGUACUGACGCUGAGGUGCGAAAGCGUGGGGAGCAAACAGGAUUAGAAACCCCAGUAGUCC
RNAcentral lists this ribosomal RNA (425 nucleotides) under uncultured bacterium. Its description in RNAcentral is "bacterial SSU rRNA". It matches the Rfam family "Bacterial small subunit ribosomal RNA", at positions 354 to 796 of the family's 1533-position model. The record is from RNAcentral.